Molecule: RNA transcript, 4616 nt
Organism: Myotis myotis
Lineage: Eukaryota; Metazoa; Chordata; Mammalia; Chiroptera; Vespertilionidae
Gene: BCL2L11
Gene name: BCL2 like 11
Exons: 6
Source: RefSeq, a predicted model, not a curated record
GGGGCGCGGGCACCGGCGCCAGCGGCGCGGGGAGGCGGCAGAGCCGGCGGCGGCGGGCGCAGUGCGCGAGGGGAGGAGCGGCCGAGGGGAGGAUGUUCCCGGCGGCGGCGGCCGGGGCGGUGCGGGACAGAGGCACGGCGCGUGGAACCCUGGGCGGCCCAGCGGAUCGCGGCAGUGGGCACGCGGCCAGCUGCGGGCUCUGCGCCGCCCCGCGGCCUCUGAGCGCGGGUCCCUGGCUUUGUCUGGUGCGCCGCCUUCGCGGUGACGGUCUGGGGGCUCCGGGUCGGCGAAGGGUGCGCGCACGACGCCGCGGGGCCCGGGCCCGGACGCGACGCUCGGCAGGGAAGGGUCGGACAAAAAAAGACCAAAUGGCCAAGCAACCUUCUGAUGUAAGUUCUGAGUGUGACAGAGAAGGUGGACAAUUACAGCCCACGGAGAGGCCUCCUCAGCUCAGGCCUGGGGCCCCCAGCUCUGUACAGAUAGAGCCACAAGGUAAUCCUGAAGGCGAAGGGGACCGCUGCCCCCACGGCAGCCCUCAGGGCCCGCUGGCCCCACCGGCCAGCCCUGGGCCUUUUGCUACCAGAUCCCCGCUUUUCAUCUUUGUGAGAAGAUCCUCCCUGCUGUCUCGAUCCUCCAGUGGGUAUUUCUCUUUUGACACAGACAGGAGCCCAGCACCCAUGAGUUGUGACAAAUCAACACAAACCCCGAGUCCUCCUUGCCAGGCCUUCAACCAUUAUCUCAAUGCAAUGGCCUCCAUGCGGCAGUCUCAGGCCCUACCUGCAGACAUGCGUCCGGAGAUGUGGAUCGCUCAGGAGCUGCGGCGGAUCGGGGACGAGUUCAACAACUCCUACCGCAACCCACGGAGGUUAGAGCAAUAGAGGAAGUUGUCGCGUAGUUGUCGUGUGUUCAGGCCGCGUCAGGGCAGUGGGGCAGCGUAUGACACGGAGCUGUGGAGUCUGAAUCCUGGAAGCAGGAGUGAGAGAGGCACAGAAGAAGCCAAGUGAUUUUGAAAGUUAAAUCAAAACAAAGCCACCUGGUGUGUGACAGAUAAAAUCGGACUGUGGUUCGGGAGCCUGCAGGACCCGCCGGCCGGCUUCCUCGUCUGCUCUGGAAGGAGUUGGGAAGCGCCUCGCUGGGCCUUACCGCCGUCCUGCUCGGGCCACAGAUGCUCGGGGGCUGUGGCAACAGUCGCGAAGGGGACUGCCCAGCAGCUGCUGUCGGAACGGCGUGGGGUCUGAGACUGGGCCCUUGUCACAGCCCCCAGAAGUUCACCCUUUGGGGAGUCUGAAACACACUUGGGCCGAUCUUCUGCAUGUUUACCAGGAAGCAGAAGGCCACCCCCAGAUGGUGGUCUUACGACUGUUGCGUUACAUCCUCCGUCUGGUGUGGAGGAUGCUGUGACGACGGGUUCCCGUGGAGCCGAGAUGUGUGCAGACAUUUCAGUUGUUCAAGCGGACAAGCCCAGCGUCACGGCCCCCUGGCGCCAUUGCUUUGCGGCCAGUGGCGGUCCCAGAGCGGCCGGUGUGGCCUGACACCUGGAGCUGCGUGCGGACUUGACCUUAUCGGUUCCUCGCCAUGUGGCAGAGGCUCUAGUGUAGUGUUUGUUAUGAAUGUAAAUGAGAGCAUAUUUUCCUUUUAAAAAUGUUACUAAUCAUGGUUCUUUGGAGCAGGAUUUUAGGCAAGAAUGGUGUAAGAACAGGUUUUUUUAAAAAGGAAGUGGAAAUUUUUAACCAACUCAUAAAUGAAUUUUUACUAAAAAUUUAAGAACCUAUUAUGGAAACUCUCAUGUGGAAACUGAGCCAGCUGGUUUCUAAAGCUGCCUUAGUUUAUUUUUACAGGCUACUGUACAGGACUUUGAAACAUGAGAGGUGUGUAUGAUAUGGCCCCUCCCUCCCUGCCGUUGCCUCUCUCGCCUUCUUUUAAUCAUGAUUACCAAAAAAUUCUUAUGAGAUGCAACUGAUUCAAGGGGUAAAGGGUCUUUUGUCAGCCUGUGUUGGUAUGCCACUGCCACUGUGUAAAUAUUGACUUACCUCCUUAAAUGUAAUUGCAUCCGUGGCAAAAGUGCAGCUUGUCUGUGUGGCUCGUCUUCUCCGGUAUGGCUCCUCUCUCUGUCCUGGGUGCUCAUGCACACAUUUGGUCCAGUGCGUCUUCACGAUUCAAGUGUAACUGGGUCAGAACGUGACUUGGAAUCUGCCCGUGUUGCCCACAGCUCGGCCAGUCUUCGGGGAGCUCGCUCACCGGGGAGUGCUCGGUACUGGUUUCCACGUGGGUUGGUGGGCUGGCGUUGAAGUACAAGUGUCCUGAAGAGAGAGAGUGGCGACAGCACAGACACAGUAUCAGGGCCCUUGGCACUGUUGGCUUUUCCGGUUGCAGGCUUUCCCUCAGCACAGGGGGCACUCAGCAUGAGGCCCCAGGGGGCUGGCAGGCCCACCUGCGGCUGAAUUUGGCUGCAGGAGUCCAAGCUGGAGUCCUCGUGGGAAUUGGCACAGGCUGUGGUGGGCAGGGCUUUGGAUGGCUGUUUCCUGGGCAUCCUGGCUUUCCGUCCACUUCCGAGUUGAUCUGGUCUCUGACGCCCACCACUGGGUUCCCGCUCUUCUAUACACACUUUGAAAUACAGGCUUCAUUCGCUCUGAGCAGCGCCAUGAAAACUCACGAGGCACACGUCCGCAACGGUCCCUUCUGGCAGCUGCUGCUGGUUCUUUUCUCUCGGACAGCUGGGCUUUGUCGGGCCUCCUCUGUGCAUCCACUGCUUCCUCCACGCCCACCUGGGAGGACUGCAGUGAGGGCACCCACGGGUGAUCAGUCAUUUCAAAGGCGGUUAAACAGCGGGGAGGCCCGAGAGGGACCGGUUAGAGAGCAGGGAAGGAAGGUGCCAAUCAUUCUGUGAACCCACAACUCCGACAGUUUUUGAAACCUCAGAUCGUGAAACAGUUUCUUAAGAGAAAUACAUGAUUUUUCAAGUGAGUCAGCAGUGCCAACAACUAUUGCAUUUCCUUUUGGCCCACCAAGGGCCAGCGUUUUCACAUUGUUAAAUUGCAAGGAGAAAUUCAUGUGUCUCUCCAUAGUUUUAUAUAAAUAUAUAUGUAUACAUAUAUGUAUAUACGUGUGUGUAUAUAUAUUUUGCAUAUGCGCUUUCUUUAGGUAGAAAUAUUUGAUCUCAGAUACUUUUCCUUUUUUAAAAUUUCUUUUUCCCCAAAAUCCUUUCUUGGGGGUCUUGAAUAUUUUUAAAACUGUUGAGACUGAGCUUGUGUUCUUGGUAGGUCUGGAACCCCCUUGCUGGGGCACCAAGGCCACACCGCUGGAGGUGGUGGUAACGUGGCCGUGGGCCUACUGGACACACACCAAAGAUGUAUUUGGUUCUGGGCCCAUCCGCUCCCAGGAUCUCCGUACUCAUGUGCCAGUCCCUCUGACUGGAGCACUUUACCCUGUUUCUGGGAGCGCAGGAUGCAGCCCGGGCCGCGGGCUCGCUCGCUGCACCCGCUCCUUUACCUCUGGCUUGGCAGCUGGCCGUGGCCACGCGUGUGAGGAAGUGAUUCUUGGACGUGUAGAAGUAUUAAGAACAGGAUGUUGCACCAGGACAUGAGAGGUGACUGGGUGUCUCUGUACUGUACGUAUCUGUGUAUCAAAAUGCUUCCUGCAGAAAGUAUACCUGCGAUGGUAUGCCUUUUCCUUUUUCUUUUCUGUUUUAUUUCUUUGUAGAGAAAAUAACUAGCUCCCUGUCUGAAAAUUUAUGAGAUGCGGGUUUUGUGCCUUGACCACCUCUUCCCAUGCAAGAUUUGUAGAACGUGUCCUGUGACGAUCACAGAAAUGCAGUCAAUGCCCCCCAGUCGCUCCACGGCGAUUCUUGCAGUUACCCGUAGUCCGGCCUAAAAAUGAGUUUAUGAAGAAUUUGUUUUUAGUUGUGGAGAAACCAGGUAAAAAUUCCUUCUGAUUUAAAAAAGAAAAUGUACUCAGUCGAACCUUCUCCUGUUUCCCCUUCUUAAUAUUGUACAUAUUUUGACUAUUUAUUAGAUUAGAUCAUAUUUUACUUACCAACUGAGCCAAAUGUCUGUGUGCAAUUGUCUCCUUUACCUUUCUUGUAAAAUUUUGUACAGCAUAAAUGAGCAAAAAAAAAAAAAAAAAAAAAUCACUGUUUUUUACUAAACUUUUUCAGAAUUAAGGAUUGUAAAUAUUGUAGAUUCUUUUUCUGUGUAAUGUGUCCUACUGGUUCAUAGUGCUGUAACUUGUAGACAUAAUGUAUAUUUAUUUUCUGCUUAUUUAAUGUCUUAAUUUCUGUAAAGUGUUGACCUCUGACACGCCCUCCCCUCCUUCCCCCACCCCCCCACCAUCCCAUUAUUUGCUUUAAUUCUGAGGUGGCGACUGGUCAGCUCACUGCCGGACAUAUGGUCUUCCUAGGGUGGCUCUCCAGCUUUGGUUCCUGGUAUAUGGUUAAAUGGGUUUACAUGCUUGGUCUUUGCUGUCCUUUGAUAAAGCUCAUGUUUAGACACCAAUGAGAGACCAUAAAUCGGGCAGGUUUCAUAAUUCUUCGGGAAAUACCCAGUGACUUUCUAUUGGUUCCAAAACAGCUAGCUUCCCAUGGAAGCAAAUUCUAUUAGCUUCCAGGAUUUGUCUUUUUU